CCUACGGGUGGCAGCAGUGAGGAAUAUUGGUCAAUGGGCGCGAGCCUGAACCAGCCAAGUAGCGUGAGGGAAGACUGCCCUAUGGGUUGUAAACCUCUUUUGUCAGGGAGCAACGCCGGCUACGUGUAGCCGGACUGAGAGUACCUGAAGAAAAAGCAUCGGCUAACUCCGUGCCAGCAGCCGCGGUAAUACGGAGGAUGCGAGCGUUAUCCGGAUUUAUUGGGUUAAAAGGGUGCGUAGGCGGAAUGCCGAGUCAGCGGUAAAAUCGCGGGGCGAAACCUCGCUCCGCCGUUGAAACUGGCGUUCUUGAGUGGGCGAGAGGUAUGCGGAAUGCGUGGUGUAGCGGUGAAAUGCAUAGAUAUAACGCAGAACACCGAUUGCGAAGGCAGCAUACCGGCGCCCAACUGACGCUGAGGCACGAAAGCGUGGGUAUCGAACAGGAUUAGAUACCCGAGUAGUC
Molecule: ribosomal RNA, 460 nt
Filed under: uncultured bacterium
Lineage: Bacteria
Description: partial 16S ribosomal RNA
Rfam family: Bacterial small subunit ribosomal RNA
Source: RNAcentral